UACGGGGGGAGCAAGCGUUGUUCGGAUUUACUGGGCGUAAAGGGCGCGUAGGCGGUCAGCACAAGUCAGUUGUGAAAUCUCCGGGCUUAACUCGGAAAGGUCAACUGAUACUGUGCGACUAGAGUGCGGAAGGGGCAACUGGAAUUCUCGGUGUAGCGGUGAAAUGCGUAGAUAUCAGGAGGAACACCGAUGGCGAAGGCAGGUCUCUGGGCUGACACUGACGCUCAUGCACGAAAGCGUGGGGAGCAAACAGG
This 254-nucleotide ribosomal RNA is filed under the name uncultured bacterium. Its description in RNAcentral is "partial 16S ribosomal RNA". It matches the Rfam family "Bacterial small subunit ribosomal RNA", at positions 524 to 776 of the family's 1533-position model. The record is from RNAcentral.